UGGGGAAAAGGAACAAUGGUGACCGUAUCGUCAGCUUCACCGACUAAGCCAACCCUGUUCCCUCUGGUGGCCUCAUGCGGCUCUGGAACGAGUGGAGAUGUGGUUGCUUUGGGCUGCUUGGCCACAGGGUUCCUGCCCGAUUCCCUGACCUUCAAGUGGACCGACAGUACCGAAAAAGAGCUGACCCCCUUCAGGAAAUACCCGUCCGUGCUCAAUGGGGAGACCUACUCCUCCACCAGCCAGCUGUCCUUGCCCACCUCCGACUGGAACUCAGGAAAAGCUUUCUUCUGUGAGGCCAAACAUCCUCAGGGUGACGUGAAGGUUACAUUUGCCGGGACACCACCUGUCCCCCCUGCAAGUGUGUUGCUAAACCCGCCAUCACUCGAGGAGUUAGCACAAAACCAUACCGCCACUCUGGUCUGUGUGGCCAGUGGCUUCUCUCCUAAAACGCACGAGUUCAAAUGGUGGAGGGGCAAUACCAAAUUGGACGAAGGGGUCACCAAUAUCCCUGCCACUGAGGACGAGAAGAAACUGUACAGUGCGAGCAGCCUCUUAACUGUGACUGAGAAGGACUGGAAAAGUUCUGCUGAAUUUGCGUGUGAAUUUGUCCACAAGACAGGAAGUGUACUGAAGAACAUUACCUACACUUCACCUGAGUGCCAGGAAACAGUCAAGGUCGUCAUUGAGCCCCCAACAAAUGAGGAGCAGUUCGUGAAAAAUACCGCCACCCUCACUUGCAGAGCCAUCGGCCUGGUAUCUACCAGUGAUGUUUCGAUGACAUGGAGCUCAGGGGGCAAACCGCUGGCUGCUGGGGCCCCUGAAUUUGGACAUGAAGGAGGGAAAAUUGUGGCUGUGUCUAGAGUGUCCGUGGUCCUGGAGAAAUGGCGCACGGGCACAGAGUACAAAUGCAUUGUAUCACACCUUGAUUCUUUUCCCACCCCGAUAACAAAAACCUACAAAAGACAGAUCGCUACGAAAAUCCGCCCGUCCGUCUUCCUUCUCGCUCCAUCAACCGAAGAAAGCUCCAGCACUAGGGAUGAGGUGACCCUGACCUGCUUCGUCAAAGACUUCUCCCCGAAGGACAUCUACAUCUCUUGGCUUGCUCAGGAUAGCGUAGUUGACAAGACCCAUUACACCGUCACCGAUUUGAUCCCCUCGCACGACGGGACCUAUUCCGUCUACAGCAAAUACACCAUAUCGUCCAGCGACUGGAACAGCGGCACGAUGUACUCGUGCGCCGUCCACCACGAAACCGCCCCCCUCCCGGUCUCCGUCAUUACCAGAACCACAGACAGUUCUACUGGUAAAGCAACUCUGGUCAAUCUCACCCUCAACCUUCCCGACACCUGCCCAGCGCAAGCGUAACACGUCCCCCGUCCCAGUGUACCCAGUGUCAUGUACUGUCUGCUGUUGUGCCUCUGUAUUGUAACAGAAUGUCACGUUGUCUUCUGUCUGUCUCUUUAACAGCUGUGUUUCAAACUUAAAAAGCAAAAACAAAACAAAAUAAAAAAUAAGAACGAC
Molecule: non-coding RNA, 1521 nt
Organism: Lepisosteus oculatus (spotted gar)
Lineage: Eukaryota; Metazoa; Chordata; Actinopteri; Semionotiformes; Lepisosteidae
Source: the annotation of a RefSeq genome assembly